This 543-nucleotide ribosomal RNA is filed under the name Porphyromonas sp. oral taxon 395. RNAcentral describes it as "bacterial SSU rRNA". It matches the Rfam family "Bacterial small subunit ribosomal RNA", at positions 386 to 926 of the family's 1533-position model. The record is from RNAcentral. Lineage: Bacteria; Pseudomonadati; Bacteroidota; Bacteroidia; Bacteroidales; Porphyromonadaceae.
AACCAGCCAAGUUGCGUGAAGGACGACGGUUCUAUGGAUUGUAAACUUCUUUUGUAGAGGAAUAACGGCAGCUACGUGUAGCUGAGAUGCAUGUACUCUACGAAUAAGUAUCGGCUAACUCCGUGCCAGCAGCCGCCGGUAAUACGGGGGAUACGAGCGUUAUCCGGAAUUAUUGGGUUUAAAGGGUGCGUAGGUGGCGUAUUAAGUCAGUGGUGAAAAGCUGCAGCUCAACUGUAGUCUUGCCGUUGAAACUGAUAUGCUAGAGAGGAGACGAGGUAUGCGGAAUGUGUGGUGUAGCGGUGAAAUGCAUAGAUAUCACACAGAACGCCGAUUGCGAAGGCAGCGUACCAGGCUCCGUCUGACACUGAAGCACGAAAGCGUGGGGAUCAAACAGGAUUAGAUACCCUGGUAGUCCACGCAGUAAACGAUGAAUACUAGAUUUUUGCGAUAUAGUGUAAGAGUCUAAGCGAAAGCGAUAAGUAUUCCCACCUGGGGAGUACGCCGGCAACGGUGAAACUCAAAGGAAUUGACGGGGGCCCGCAC